CCCAGAACCACACUGAUGUUGAGAUUUCACUCACCUUGAAGUGGGGUGGAUCUCCCAAGCAAUCACAGUUCUUUGGGGUUCAUGGGGUUAACCUUGAGUGUCCUUGACUUGUGUGUGCCCUGUGGACAAGCCACGGCUGUGAUAGUGCUUGUUGAACGUGUGGGCGAUGGCAGUAGCUGCCUGGGUCCCUUUCUCUAUCCCCUUCCAGCUCUAGCCCUGACUGGAGACUCAGCCUUACUCCUUUUACUGUGGGAUUCAUUCUGGCUCCAGGCAGGUAGAAUAUAAAGAACAGUCUCAUGGUUCUCCUACCAAGACAUCCUCACAACAGCCUUUGUCCUUGACCUUCUGAAUCCCAAGUCUCUGAGUCCUGCCCGUUCUUUACUAGCAGGGGUCAUGGUUAUCCUGGUUAUCCUUAGUUCUCCACUGACAGUGGUGGGCCAGGUGAGAAGGGACUCGUAGAUCAAACUAAGGACUUUAAACUUUACUCUGAGCUCAAUGAAGGAUCACCCAUAUUCUUUUCUGUUGAUGGAUGUUGAAAGAUAAUCAGACACCCACACUGAAGGUCAAUUGCCAGGGGACAACAGUAGAGGUGUCUUCUGCUACAAGACAAGAGACCACGAAAGUCUCAUGGCCAUGAGACUGGCCAGGAGGAAGCCAGCCGGACUGCCUCCCCCACCUGCACUCAGGCUGCACCUAAUCCAUUCUCCACAUUGUGGCCAGAAGGACUUUCACAUACAAAUCUGUCACCACGUAGCCUUCCCCACCCCCACCCCACCUGCCUUAACAGUCUUCAAAGUCUUCUCUGUCCUCUUAAAAGACCAAAAUCCUAACGAGGUGUUGAACAGUAGGGGCUCUGCCUUCCUCUCCCAUCAGUAUUUCUAUAAUUCAUUACCCUGAAGCCAUAGUGGCCUUUCUUGAAGGCCACUCAUUUCCUUGAAGGCCAUUCCUCACUCCUCCUGAUUCAUUAAGGGCUUACACGCUGGUCUGUCUGUCCCCCAUGCCCUUGAUCAAGUUAAUUCCUGUGGCACCCUCCAGCUCUCCUCUUGCAUGUCCCUUCCUUGGGGAAGCCUUCCCUGUCCCCAAACUAAACACUCUCAUAAUUCAGUGUACAUUUCUUUUAUAACAUUAUUUGUAUGUUUCCCCAAACCAGAGCCAGGAGGGCAGAGACCUUGUCUAUUUUUGCUCCCCAGUAGAUACAUAACAAAAUGAGUGGCACAUACUGUGUGUUUAAAAUUUAUUCACCAAAGGACCAAAUGAGUGAAUUAAACAGGAUUUCAUGAACAGAAUGAGGAUGGAGUGAGGAUGGGAUCAGUCAUGACUCCCAGGUUUCUUAGCUUUGUAAACUCACGGUGCCACAGAGACAAGAAACACAGAAAGAAAGUAAGUUUGGGGGAGCUGGUGAACAGGAGCUAGUGAUGAUUUAAGGUAGAGAUGUGGAGUAUUCCGUGGAUAAGGGAGCUGGAGCUUGAGGAAAAGCUGGGCAAGAGAUGUAGAUCAGGGAGCCCCAAUUCCACAGGUAGCUGGAACACUGGGAGCCAGCAAGGUCAUCAGGAUGGAAGAAGAGGGCUGAGGCACAUGCCCAAGGAAAAAUAACUAGAAAUGGAGGAAGUCAAGGAGCUCACGAAAGGCUCAGAGAAGGAGUAAUCAGAGAGCAAAUAUAAUCAUUCAGUCAUUGAGAAGGAGCCCUGGGAAUUUUACAUACCAAAUAAAUACAUGAAUAAAUUUGUCAAAUUAAGAUCUGAGGAGUAGAUGGGGGUGACCAACCAUCCUGAUAUGCCUGGGACUGAACACUUUUCUGGGGUGCAAACUUGUGUUCCACCCUCUGGCUAUAAAGGUGGUGCAGAAUCUACCCUCUGCCUUGGCUG
This is a non-coding RNA of Microcebus murinus (gray mouse lemur), 1865 nucleotides long. The record is from RefSeq and is a predicted model, not a curated record. NCBI's taxonomy places the organism in Eukaryota, Metazoa, Chordata, Mammalia, Primates, Cheirogaleidae.